Molecule: ribosomal RNA, 546 nt
Filed under: fungal sp. SNB-GPP02
Lineage: Eukaryota; Fungi
Description: partial large subunit ribosomal RNA
Source: RNAcentral
GGCAGAACCGAUUMUGAGGUAUGCCUUGCAGAAKUUGGGGUUUUACGGCAGGGGUAUCAGUCCAACUAAUAGGCGAGAUAAAAAAUUACUACGUCUAGAGUGUGAACCAACUCCGCCACUAACUUUGAGGAGCUACGUUACCGUAGGCUCCCAACACUAAGCAACUAAGGCUUAAGGGUUGAAAUGACGCUCGAACGGUCCUGCCCACUAGAAUACUAAUGGGCGCAAUAUGCGUUCAAAGAUUCGAUGAUUCACUGAAUUCUGCAAUUCACAUUACUUAUCGCAUUUCGCUGCGUUCUUCAUCGAUGCCAGAACCAAGAGAUCCGUUGUUGAAAGUUUUAACUUAUUUAGUUAUAGGUUCAGAAUUCAAUAUCAAACAGAGUUUGGUGGGCCGCCGGCAGGCUUACCCGCACCUCCCGGGUAAGUCUUACAGGGUAAGUCUACGAGGUAGGCGCGACCUGCCGAGGCAACGUUAGGUAUGUUCACAUGGGUUUGGGAGUUAUAGAACUCUUUAAUGAUCCCUCCGCAGGUUCACCUACGGAGGGA